Non-coding RNA from Myotis brandtii (Brandt's bat), 75 nucleotides. Lineage: Eukaryota; Metazoa; Chordata; Mammalia; Chiroptera; Vespertilionidae. The record is from Rfam.
GGUGGUUCUCGGGUUACGCACCCCAGAAUCAGGCUCCCUCCUCUCUGGUUCUGCGUGCAUCACCUGAGAACUGCG